Molecule: ribosomal RNA, 549 nt
Filed under: uncultured bacterium
Lineage: Bacteria
Description: bacterial SSU rRNA
Rfam family: Bacterial small subunit ribosomal RNA
Source: RNAcentral
UGGGGAAUAUUGGACAAUGGGCGAAAGCCUGAUCCAGCCAUGCCGCGUGUGUGAAGAAGGCCUUUUGGUUGUAAAGCACUUUAAGUGGGGAGGAAAAGCUUGUGGUUAAUACCCAUAAGCCCUGACGUUACCCACAGAAUAAGCACCGGCUAACUCUGUGCCAGCAGCCGCGGUAAUACAGAGGGUGCAAGCGUUAAUCGGAAUUACUGGGCGUAAAGCGCGCGUAGGUGGUUAUCUAAGUCAGAUGUGAAAGCCCCGGGCUUAACCUGGGAACUGCAUCUGAUACUGGAUAACUAGAGUAGGUGAGAGGGGAGUAGAAUUCCAGGUGUAGCGGUGAAAUGCGUAGAGAUCUGGAGGAAUACCGAUGGCGAAGGCAGCUCCCUGGCAUCAUACUGACACUGAGGUGCGAAAGCGUGGGUAGCAAACAGGAUUAGAUACCCUGGUAGUCCACGCCGUAAACGAUGUCUACCAGUCGUUGGGUCUUUUAAAGACUUAGUGACGCAGUUAACGCAAUAAGUAGACCGCCUGGGGAGUACGGCCGCAAGGUUA